Molecule: ribosomal RNA, 569 nt
Filed under: uncultured fungus
Lineage: Eukaryota; Fungi
Description: eukaryotic LSU rRNA
Rfam family: Eukaryotic large subunit ribosomal RNA (bases 299-569)
Source: RNAcentral
UGAAAUGCGAUAAGUAAUGUGAAUUGCAGAAUCUCGUGAAUCAUUGAAUCUUUGAACGCACAUUGCGCCCUAUGGUAUUCCAUAGGGCAUACCUGUUUGAGCGUUAGCUCCCCACCCUUCUCAAGCAUUAUUUUAUAAUGUUUGGAUUUAUUUGGAGAGGCACCUCUGUCAUGGAGGUACCCUUCAGAAAUGAAUAUGGCAGUAUAGUUUAUAUCUAAACUAGGCGUAAUAAUAAUAAUAAAGUCGCUGGGUUUUAUCAUAUUUAUACUAGCCUGAACCCACCCAUUAAUAAAUCGGGUAACCUCAAAUCAGGUAGGGAUACCCCCUGAACUUAAGCAUAUCAAUAACCGGAGGAAAAGAAACCAACAGGGAUUGCCCUAGUAACGGCGAGUGAAGCGGCAAAAGCUCACAUUUGGAAUCUGGCGCCAUUGUGGCGUCCGAGUUGUAGUCUGAAGAGGGGAAUUCAAGUGUAGCUUUGGCUUAAGUUCCUUGGAACAGGACGUCAUAGAGGGUGAGAACCCCGUUAAUGGCCUUUGUCUUAUGCUUAUGUGAAUCUCCUUCAAUGAGUC